UACGUAGGGUGCAAGCGUUAAUCGGAAUUACUGGGCGUAAAGCGUACGCAGGCGGCUAUGCAAGACAGGUGUGAAAUCCCCGGGCCUAACCUGGGAACUGCAUUUGUGACUGCAUAGCUAGAGUCCGUCAGAGGGGGGUGGAAUUCCACGUGUAGCAGUGAAAUGCGUAGAGAUGUGGAGGAACACCGAUGGCGAAGGCAGCCCCCUGGGAUGAGACUGACGCUCAUGUACGAAAGCGUGGGGAGCAAACAGG
Molecule: ribosomal RNA, 253 nt
Filed under: uncultured bacterium
Lineage: Bacteria
Description: partial 16S ribosomal RNA
Rfam family: Bacterial small subunit ribosomal RNA
Source: RNAcentral